CCUACGGGAGGCUGCAGUGAGGAAUAUUGGUCAAUGGGCGAGAGCCUGAACCAGCCAAGUCGCGUGAAGGAUGAAGGAUCUAUGGUUUGUAAACUUCUUUUAUCAGGGACGAAGCAAGUGACGGUACCUGAUGAAUAAGCCACGGCUAACUACGUGCCAGCAGCCGCGGUAAUACGUAGGUGGCAAGCGUUAUCCGGAUUUACUGGGUGUAAAGGGCGUGUAGGCGGGAGUGCAAGUCAGAUGUGAAAACUAUGGGCUCAACCCAUAGCCUGCAUUUGAAACUGUACUUCUUGAGUGCUGGAGAGGCAAUCGGAAUUCCGUGUGUAGCGGUGAAAUGCGUAGAUAUACGGAGGAACACCAGUGGCGAAGGCGGAUUGCUGGACAGUAACUGACGCUGAGGCGCGAAAGCGUGGGGAGCAAACAGGAUUAGAUACCCUUGUAGUC
This 444-nucleotide ribosomal RNA is filed under the name uncultured bacterium. Its description in RNAcentral is "partial 16S ribosomal RNA". It matches the Rfam family "Bacterial small subunit ribosomal RNA", at positions 338 to 795 of the family's 1533-position model. The record is from RNAcentral.